This 422-nucleotide ribosomal RNA is filed under the name uncultured bacterium. RNAcentral's name for it is "partial 16S ribosomal RNA". It matches the Rfam family "Bacterial small subunit ribosomal RNA", at positions 355 to 774 of the family's 1533-position model. The record is from RNAcentral.
UGAGGAAUAUUGGACAAUGGGUGAGAGCCUGAUCCAGCCAUCCCGCGUGAAGGAUGACGGUCCUAUGGAUUGUAAACUUCUUUUGUACAGGGAUAAACCUACUCUCGUGAGGGUAGCUGAAGGUACUGUACGAAUAAGCACCGGCUAACUCCGUGCCAGCAGCCGCGGUAAUACGGAGGGUGCAAGCGUUAUCCGGAUUUAUUGGGUUUAAAGGGUCCGUAGGCGGAUUUGUAAGUCAGUGGUGAAAUCUCAUAGCUUAACUAUGAAACUGCCAUUGAUACUGCAGGUCUUGAGUAAAUUUGAAGUGGCUGGAAUAAGUAGUGUAGCGGUGAAAUGCAUAGAUAUUACUUAGAACACCAAUUGCGAAGGCAGGUCACUAAGAUUUAACUGACGCUGAUGGACGAAAGCGUGGGGAGCGAACA